GACUCUUAGCGGUGGAUCACUCAGCUUGUGCACUGAUGAAGAAUGCAGCUAGCUGUGAGAAUUAAUGUGAAUUGCAGGACACAUUAAUCAUGGACACUUCAAACGCACUUGCGGCCCUGGGUUCCUCCUGGGGUUACGCCUAUCUGAGUGUCG
This 153-nucleotide ribosomal RNA is filed under the name Carlito syrichta (Philippine tarsier). RNAcentral's name for it is "5.8S ribosomal RNA (ENSTSYG00000029220.1)". It matches the Rfam family "5.8S ribosomal RNA". From Rfam's summary of the family: 5.8S ribosomal RNA (5.8S rRNA) is a component of the large subunit of the eukaryotic ribosome. It is transcribed by RNA polymerase I as part of the 45S precursor that also contains 18S and 28S rRNA. Lineage: Eukaryota; Metazoa; Chordata; Mammalia; Primates; Tarsiidae. The record is from Rfam by way of RNAcentral.